CCUGACUGCUAUCGGAUUGAUACUAAGCCAUGCGAGUCUUUGCAGUAAUGCAAGGCAUACGGCUCAGUAACACGUAGUCAACUUACCCUAUGGACGAGGAUAAUCUCGGGAAACUGAGCAUAAUACUCGAUAGAUCAUAAUGCCUGGAAUGGUUUAUGGUUGAAAUGAUUCGUCGCCAUAGGAUGGGACUGCGGCCUAUCAGCUUGUUGGUGAGGUAAUGGCCCACCAAGGCGAUUACAGGUACGGGCUCUGAGAGGAGAAGCCCGGAGAUGGGUACUGAGACAAGGACCCAGGCCCUAUGGGGCGCAGCAGGCGAGAAAACUUUGCAAUGUGCGAAAGCACGACAAGGUUAAUCCGAGUGAUUUCUGCUAAAGAAAUCUUUUGCAAGUCAUAAAACCACUAGUGAAUAAGGGGUGGGCAAGUUCUGGUGUCAGCCGCCGCGGUAAAACCAGCACCUCAAGUGGUCAGGAGGAUUAUUGGGCCUAAAGCAUCCGUAGCCGGCUCUGUAAGUUUUCGGUUAAAUCCAUGUGCUCAACACAUGGGCUGCCGAAAAUACUGCAUAGCUAGGGAGUGGGAGAGGUAGACGGUACUCGGUAGGAAGGGGUAAAAUCCUUUGAUCUAUCGAUGACCACCUGUGGCGAAGGCGGUCUACCAGAACACGUUCGACGGUGAGGGAUGAAAGCUGGGGGAGCAAACCGGAUUAGAUACCCGGGUAGUCCCAGCUGUAAACGAUGCAGACUCGAUGAUGCAUUGGCAUAUAGCCAGUGCAGUGUCGCAGGGAAGCCGUUAAGUCUGCCGCCUGGGAAGUACGUACGCAAGUAUGAAACUUAAAGGAAUUGGCGGGGGAGCACCACAAGGGGUGAAGCCUGCGGUUC
This 875-nucleotide ribosomal RNA is filed under the name uncultured archaeon. Its description in RNAcentral is "bacterial SSU rRNA". It matches the Rfam family "Archaeal small subunit ribosomal RNA", at positions 21 to 903 of the family's 1478-position model. The record is from RNAcentral.